Molecule: long non-coding RNA, 1374 nt
Organism: Syzygium oleosum
Lineage: Eukaryota; Viridiplantae; Streptophyta; Magnoliopsida; Myrtales; Myrtaceae
Exons: 2
Source: RefSeq, a predicted model, not a curated record
UAAAGGUUAUACUAUGAUCUUUUUUUUUUCUUUUUUGCAAUCUGAUUACAUAAAUAGUGCAACUCAUGGGCAGUAACUUUUAAUUGCAGUACUUGAGAAAGACCUUGUGGCUUACUUUUCAAGAAGAUGUUCAAAUGCUCAAGGUGAGGAAAAAAUUUUCGGCAGCUAAAUAGCUGCCCAUAAAAAAAAAGGGAACAAAUAGAGUAGCAACAUAUCGGUUCAUUGGCACUUCUAUAUCAUGGCUGUAAAAGUAGGACAAUGAGUUCUCUUGCUGAUUUUUUGUUUGUUGCUUUUAAAUGAAACUGAUUGUUUGUGGUAGCACUCCUCUUACCUGAUGAUUUGUUCUGUUGGAAGAGGAACCGCAAGAAAGUGAUAUUUACAACUAUAUGCCGUGCACGUGUACAUUGGGGGCUGAUUUGUUCUUGGCUUUUGUUGCUUUAGCUUGAUUUUGUUGUUUGAUCUGAUUCAGGGCUGAUUUUGUUGGUUGUUUUGAUAUUCGCGAAAAUGGAGGAUCUUGUGGCUUUGUUUGAGCCCAUUGCAUUGUCUCCGUCGGAGUCUUCGAUAAUAUUGCUACUCCUGGUUUUCUCAUGUUUGCUUUAAGCUGGUUUGGUUUUGUUGUCUCUGUUUUUUCUCUCUUUUGACUGUUCUCCUUUCGGCUCUACUAUAGCUCAUAGCAUCUGAAUAUAUUUUACUCGUAUUCUUGCAAUGCAAAGGAAAAGAGGCAAUAGAUUCUAAGAAGCAAAUGUGAUUUGGUAUGUUAACCUAUAUUGGCAUAUUGUAUUGGGCUACAUAGCUUAGCUGGGUCAAAGCUGAUGUGAUUGGUUCCAUCUUUUUCCUCUCCUUGCUUUUAGUCGUGGGGCUUGGGUUUUUGAGGAUGGGAAUGAAUGGGGCAAUCAAGAGUCCAAAACCCUUCUUUUGUCUUCUGGUCUUGGGGGUUGCACCAGGUGUUAUUUGCUUUUUUAGAAAAUACCCUGUGGGAGAAUUAUGGCUUCUUUCAAAAUGAUUGAUUAUUUGAAUGCAGUGAUACCUGCUUAGAAUCAUGCAUUUGUGGAAAGUCAUGUGUAUUGUUCUUUGCACGUUGCGGGUGCUGGAAGCACUCCACUUCAUUAUGCUGCUUGUGGUGGAAGUGUGCAGUGUUGUCAGUGUGCAGUUGUGGACAGUGAACCAAUUUGGAACACCUACGUUGCACCUUUGUUUCUUUACUUCUAUUAGAUUUAUCACUGAAAGUGAACUUCAACAUUUUUCCUCUAUAUUUCAUUUACCUUCGUUGCUUUACUUAAUUAAGAUUGCUUGCUUCACAGUCAUUAUGUAUCCUUUAGAAGCUGAAUAUAUUAACAUUUAAUGUGGACACAAUGUCACUAAUUUUGUGUCUAA